This 322-nucleotide ribosomal RNA is filed under the name uncultured bacterium. RNAcentral describes it as "partial 16S ribosomal RNA". It matches the Rfam family "Bacterial small subunit ribosomal RNA", at positions 355 to 693 of the family's 1533-position model. The record is from RNAcentral.
UGGGGAAUAUUGCACAAUGGGCGAAAGCCUGAUGCAGCAACGCCGCGUGUGUGAAGAAGGUCUUCGGAUUGUAAAGCACUUUCGACGGGGACGAUGAUGACGGUACCCGUAGAAGAAGCCCCGGCUAACUUCGUGCCAGCAGCCGCGGUAAUACGAAGGGGGUCUAGCGUUGCUCGGAAUGACUGGGCGUAAAGGGCGUGUAGGCGGUUUACACAGUCAGAUGUGAAAUCCCCGGGCUUAACCUGGGAGCUGCAUUUGAUACGUGUAGACUAGAGUGUGAGAGAGGGUUGUGGAAUUCCCAGUGUAGAGGUGAAAUUCGUAG